AGGGCACCACCAGGAGUGGAGCCUGCGGCUUAAUUUGACUCAACACGGGAAAACUCACCCGGCCCGGACACUGGAAGGAUUGACAGAUUGAGAGCUCUUUCUUGAUUCAGUGGGUGGUGGUGCAUGGCCGUUCUUAGUUGGUGGAGUGAUUUGUCUGGUUAAUUCCGAUAACGAACGAGACUCUAGCCUACUAAAUAGAUCGUCGGCUUACAAACGCCGGCGAGACUUCUUAGAGGGACAGGCGGUGAUUCAACCGCACGAAACAGAGCAAUAACAGGUCUGUGAUGCCCUUAGAUGUCCGGGGCCGCACGCGCGCUACACUGAAGUGAUCAGCGUGCUUUUUCAACCUACUCUGUCAAGAGUGGGGAACCCAAUGAACCUUCUUCGUGAUUGGGAUAGGGGGAUGGUAAUUAUUCCCUUGAACCAAGAAUUUCCCAGUAGGCGCAGUCAAUAGCUCGCGUUUGAUACCUCCCCUGCCCUUGGUCCACACGGCCCGUCGCUCCUCCGGUUUGAAUGUUU
This 519-nucleotide ribosomal RNA is filed under the name uncultured eukaryote. RNAcentral's name for it is "SSU rRNA". It matches the Rfam family "Eukaryotic small subunit ribosomal RNA", at positions 1161 to 1698 of the family's 1831-position model. The record is from RNAcentral.